GACGAACGCUGGCGGCGUGCCUAAUACAUGCAAGUCGGACGCAAGGAAACACACUGUGCUUGUACACCGUGUGUUCUUGAGUCGCGAAUGGGUGAGUAAUGCGUAGGUCACCUGCCUGUUAGCAGGGGUUAACUAGUGGAAACGAUAGCUAUUACCGCAUGAUAUUAAUUAUUGCAUGGUGAUAGAUUGAUAUUUGCAAGCGCAUCACUAGUAGAUGGACUUGCGUUGUAUUAGCUAGUUGGUAAGGUAAGAGCUUACCAAGGCGACGAUACAUAGCCGACCUGCGAGGGGGAUCGGCCACACCGGGACUGAGACACGGCCCAGACUACUACGGGAGGCAGCAGUACGGGAUCCUCGGCAAUGGACGCAAGUCUGAACGAGCAACGACGCGUGAGUGCAGGAGGUAUUCGGAUCGUAAAGAUCUGUUGUAAGUUAAGAACGUGAGUGAGAGUGGAAAGUUCACAUAGUGACGGUAGCUUACCAGAAAGCGACGGCUAACUACGUG
RNAcentral lists this ribosomal RNA (505 nucleotides) under uncultured bacterium. RNAcentral's name for it is "partial 16S ribosomal RNA". It matches the Rfam family "Bacterial small subunit ribosomal RNA", at positions 28 to 507 of the family's 1533-position model. The record is from RNAcentral.